AAGAGCCAAUAAAGAUGCGGUGUAUGAAUAUACAAAAACAUUGGGUGUAGUACCCUUGGCUUUGAGUUGGAGAUGUUUUGCGCAAAGUAGACGUAACAACGGACUUUAAAACUCAAGAUUUUUAUUGUAGAGGACUAAAGUGGAAAAUAUAGUUGUAUAGGGGCUUAUGGGCUAUUGUUUUUACUUAGUCGGUGGAGUCCACGUGGUCCUCCAUUCUCUAUCCUCAUCCUCUCUUUUUGUUUUUUUUCUUUUAUAUAUAUUGCCAAGUUGUGAGGUAAUUAAUUAGCAGGGUAGCAUUCGGUUCGUUCGUGCGAGCGAGCAAGGCGAGCGAGCGAGUCAAGUGCGUGCGUCGUAGUAGCGCCGUUGGAGGCCGGGCGAGCGCGGAAUUUCUUCUCCUAUUGACUUCUCGCUGUUGUGGAUUAGCGUUUGAGGUGGGUGUAUCAUCGGUUUCGCUCCUAAGUGCAUGUUUAGUCGACGUGUAUAGUUCGAUUCUUGUAUAUCAUGCUUUAAUUCAUCGAUAAGCAUCUCGAAUGUAAUAUGAAUGUAGAAGCAUGCUGAAAUGAAUAUUUAUAUUAU
Molecule: long non-coding RNA, 576 nt
Filed under: Ananas comosus (pineapple)
Lineage: Eukaryota; Viridiplantae; Streptophyta; Magnoliopsida; Poales; Bromeliaceae
Description: long non-coding RNA (ACOM_LNC043665)
Source: RNAcentral